RNAcentral lists this ribosomal RNA (1024 nucleotides) under Melanomma pulvis-pyrius. RNAcentral's name for it is "SSU rRNA". It matches the Rfam family "Eukaryotic small subunit ribosomal RNA", at positions 82 to 1114 of the family's 1831-position model. Lineage: Eukaryota; Fungi; Ascomycota; Dothideomycetes; Pleosporales; Melanommataceae. The record is from RNAcentral.
UGAAACUGCGAAUGGCUCAUUAAAUCAGUUAUCGUUUAUUUGAUAGUACCUUACCACUUGGAUAACCGUGGUAAUUCUAGAGCUAAUACAUGCUAAAAACCCCGACUUCGGAAGGGGUGUGUUUAUUAGAUAAAAAACCAAUGCCCUUCGGGGCUCUUUGGUGAUUCAUGAUAACCUAACGGAUCGCAUGGCCUUGCGCCGGCGACGGUUCAUUCAAAUUUCUGCCCUAUCAACUUUCGAUGGUAAGGUAUUGGCUUACCAUGGUUUCAACGGGUAACGGGGAAUUAGGGUUCGAUUCCGGAGAGGGAGCCUGAGAAACGGCUACCACAUCCAAGGAAGGCAGCAGGCGCGCAAAUUACCCAAUCCCGACACGGGGAGGUAGUGACAAUAAAUACUGAUACAGGGCUCUUUUGGGUCUUGUAAUUGGAAUGAGUACAAUUUAAACCCCUUAACGAGGAACAAUUGGAGGGCAAGUCUGGUGCCAGCAGCCGCGGUAAUUCCAGCUCCAAUAGCGUAUAUUAAAGUUGUUGCAGUUAAAAAGCUCGUAGUUGAAACUUGGGUCUGGCUAGCGGGUCCGCCUCACCGCGUGCACUUGUCCGGCUGGACCUUUCCUUCUGGAGAACCUCAUGCCCUUUACUGGGUGUGUUGGGGAACCAGGACUUUUACUUUGAAAAAAUUAGAGUGUUCAAAGCAGGCCUUUGCUCGAAUACGUUAGCAUGGAAUAAUAGAAUAGGACGUGCGGUCCUAUUUUGUUGGUUUCUAGGAUCGCCGUAAUGAUUAAUAGGGAUAGUCGGGGGCAUCAGUAUUCAAUUGUCAGAGGUGAAAUUCUUGGAUUUAUUGAAGACUAACUACUGCGAAAGCAUUUGCCAAGGAUGUUUUCAUUAAUCAGUGAACGAAAGUUAGGGGAUCGAAGACGAUCAGAUACCGUCGUAGUCUUAACCGUAAACUAUGCCGACUAGGGAUCGGGCGAUGUUUCUAUCUUGACUCGCUCGGCACCUUACGAGAAAUCAAAGUUUUUGGGUUC